Molecule: RNase P RNA, 398 nt
Filed under: Nocardioides islandensis
Lineage: Bacteria; Bacillati; Actinomycetota; Actinomycetes; Propionibacteriales; Nocardioidaceae
Description: Bacterial RNase P class A
Rfam family: Bacterial RNase P class A
About the family: Ribonuclease P (RNase P) is a ubiquitous endoribonuclease, found in archaea, bacteria and eukarya as well as chloroplasts and mitochondria.
Source: Rfam by way of RNAcentral
GGAGCUGGCCGGGCGACCGCGGCGUACGUCUUCGGAGAUCUCUCCGGGGCGGGCGUCGAGGAAGGUCCGGGCUCCGUAGGGCAGGGCGGUGGGCAACACCCACCCGGGGUGACCCGCGGGACAGUGCCACAGAAAACAGACCGCCGCCAUCGGCGCAGCUGAUGGAGGUAAGGGUGAAAUGGUGGUGCAAGAGACCACCAGCGACCGGGGCGACCCGGUCGGCUCGGCAAACCCCGCCCGGAGCAAGGUCGAACAGCGUGCGUCCGAGGGCGGCCCGCCCGAGCACGCGGGUAGACCGCACGAGUCCGCCGGCAACGGCGGGCCUAGAUGGAUGGUCGCCCCCCGACCGGUCGCAAGACCGCCGGGGACAGAACCCGGCCUACAGGCCAGCUCCUCCG